GCAACCCUUGAUCUUAGUUGCCAGCAUUCAGUUGGGCACUCUAAGGUGACUGCCGGUGACAAACCGGAGGAAGGUGGGGAUGACGUCAAAUCAUCAUGCCCCUUAUGACCUGGGCUACACACGUGCUACAAUGGACAGAACAAAGGGCAGCGAAACCGCGAGGUUAAGCCAAUCCCACAAAUCUGUUCUCAGUUCGGAUCGCAGUCUGCAACUCGACUGCGUGAAGCUGGAAUCGCUAGUAAUCGCGGAUCAGCAUGCCGCGGUGAAUACGUUCCCGGGCCUUGUACACACCGCCCGUCACACCACGAGAGUUUGUAACACCCGAAGUCGGUGAGGUAACCUU
RNAcentral lists this ribosomal RNA (343 nucleotides) under Bacillus sp. R2(2012). Its description in RNAcentral is "bacterial SSU rRNA". It matches the Rfam family "Bacterial small subunit ribosomal RNA", at positions 1098 to 1442 of the family's 1533-position model. The record is from RNAcentral. Lineage: Bacteria; Bacillati; Bacillota; Bacilli; Caryophanales; Bacillaceae.